RNAcentral lists this transfer RNA (76 nucleotides) under Methanopyri archaeon. RNAcentral describes it as "tRNA-Gly". It matches the Rfam family "tRNA". Rfam says of the family: Transfer RNA (tRNA) molecules are approximately 80 nucleotides in length. Their secondary structure includes four short double-helical elements and three loops (D, anti-codon, and T loops). The record is from RNAcentral. Lineage: Archaea; Methanobacteriati; Methanobacteriota; Methanopyri.
GCGGCCGCAGUCUAGUCUGGUAGGACGCGGGCCUUCCGAGCCCGUUGCCCGGGUUCAAAUCCCGGCGGCCGCACCA